AAAUGAAUUGACGGGGGCCCGCACAAGCGGCGGAGCAUGCGGAUUAAUUCGAUGCAACGCGAAGAACCUUACCAAGGCUUGACAUACACUUGACGCUGGUAGAGAUAUCAGUUCCGUAAGGCGGGUGUACAGGUGGUGCAUGGUUGUCGUCAGCUCGUGUCGUGAGAUGUUGGGUUAAGUCCCGCAACGAGCGCAACCCUUGUUUCGUGUUACCAGCGGGUUAUGCCGGGGACUCACGAGAGACUGCCGGGGUCAACUCGGAGGAAGGUGGGGAUGACGUCAAAUCAUCAUGCCCCUUAUGUCUUGGGCUUCACGCAUGCUACAAUGGCCGGUACAGAGGGUUGCGAUCCUGUGAGGGGGAGCGAAUCCCAAAAAGCCGGUCUCAGUUCGGAUUGGGGUCUGCAACUCGACCCCAUGAAGUCGGAGUCGCUAGUAAUCGCAGAUCAGCAACGCUGCGGUGAAUACGUUCUCGGGCCUUGCACACACCGCCCGU
This 493-nucleotide ribosomal RNA is filed under the name uncultured bacterium. RNAcentral describes it as "bacterial SSU rRNA". It matches the Rfam family "Bacterial small subunit ribosomal RNA", at positions 903 to 1397 of the family's 1533-position model. The record is from RNAcentral.